Molecule: unclassified non-coding RNA, 425 nt
Filed under: soil metagenome
Description: partial contains 5.8S ribosomal RNA, internal transcribed spacer 2, and large subunit ribosomal RNA
Rfam family: 5.8S ribosomal RNA (bases 1-120)
Source: RNAcentral
GAUGAAGAACGCAGCGAAAUGCGAUAAGUAGUGUGAAUUGCAGAAUUCCGUGAAUCAUCGAAUCUUUGAACGCACAUUGCGCCUUCUGGUAUUCCGGAAGGCAUGCCUGUUCGAGAGUCAUUAACAACCGUUUCGAUCCCUUUCUUUCAGAAAUUACAAAGAGGAAAAGGGUUUGGUUAUGGUGGAGGAGGGAAAGGGAGCGUUUAGCCUGUAAAAAAAGAGGCUGUGUUCCGCCUCCCCCCCAAAAUUGUACAGGCGGUCGUGUGCGCCCACGCAUCGAGGUGUUGUAAAAGCUGCCACGGCGCUUUUCACCUGUGCAGUGCGAGAUUGGCCAGCCGGUUUAAAAACCCCUCCAAACAAUCAAAGGUUGACCUCGGAUCAGGUAGGGAUACCCGCUGAACUUAAGCAUAUCAAUAAGCGGAGGA